Molecule: ribosomal RNA, 254 nt
Filed under: uncultured bacterium
Lineage: Bacteria
Description: partial 16S ribosomal RNA
Rfam family: Bacterial small subunit ribosomal RNA
Source: RNAcentral
UACAGAGGUCCCAAGCGUUGUUCGGAUUCAUUGGGCGUAAAGCGCACGUAGGCGGACUCUUAAGUCGGUGGUGAAAUCCUGGAGCUCAACUCCAGAACUGCCUUCGAUACUGAGAGUCUCAGAGUCCGGGAGAGGUGAGUGGAACUCCGAGUGUAGAGGUGAAAUUCGUAGAUAUUCGGAAGAACACCAGUGGCGAAGGCGGCUCACUGGCCCGGUACUGACGCUGAGGUGCGAAAGCGUGGGGAGCAAACAGG